AACGAACGCUGGCGGCAUGCCUAACACAUGCAAGUCGAACGAGACCUUCGGGUCUAGUGGCGCACGGGUGCGUAACGCGUGGGAACCUGCCCUUAGGUUCGGAAUAACUCCCCGAAAGGGGUGCUAAUACCGGAUAAUGUCUUCGAACCAAAGAUUUAUCGCCUUUGGAUGGGCCCGCGUUGGAUUAGCUAGUUGGUAGGGUAAAAGCCUACCAAGGCGACGAUCCAUAGCUGGUCUGAGAGGAUGAUCAGCCACACUGGGACUGAGACACGGCCCAGACUCCUACGGGAGGCAGCAGUGGGGAAUGUUGGACAAUGGGCGAAAGCCUGAUCCAGCAAUGCCGCGUGAGUGAUGAAGGCCUUAGGGUUGUAAAGCUCUUUUACCCGGGAUGAUAAUGACAGUACCGGGAGAAUAAGCUCCGGCUAACUCCGUG
RNAcentral lists this ribosomal RNA (433 nucleotides) under uncultured bacterium. Its description in RNAcentral is "partial 16S ribosomal RNA". It matches the Rfam family "Bacterial small subunit ribosomal RNA", at positions 29 to 507 of the family's 1533-position model. The record is from RNAcentral.